Molecule: ribosomal RNA, 484 nt
Filed under: uncultured bacterium
Lineage: Bacteria
Description: partial 16S ribosomal RNA
Rfam family: Bacterial small subunit ribosomal RNA
Source: RNAcentral
AUUGAACGCUGGCGGCAGGCCUAACACAUGCAAGUCGAGCGGUUGAAGGGAGCUUGCUCCUGGAUUCAGCGGCGGACGGGGGAGUAAUGCCUAGGAAUCGGCAUCGGAGUGGGGGAUAACGUCCGGAAACGGGCGCUAAUACCGCAUACGCCCUGUGUGAGAAAGUGGGGGAUGGUCGGAUCUCACGCUAUCGGAUGAGGCUAGGUCGGAUUAGGUUGUUGGUGGGGUAAAGGUCUACCAAGGCGACGAUCCGUAACUGGUCUGAGAGGAUGAGCAGUCACACUGGAACUGAGACACGGUCCAGACUCCUACGGGAGGCAGCAGUGGGGAAUAUUGGACAAUGGGCGAAAGCCUGAUCCAGCCAUGCCGCGUGUAUGAAGAAGGUCUUCGGAUUGUAAAGCACUUUAAGUGGGGAGGAAGGGCAGUAAGUUAAUACCUUGCUGUUUUGACGUUACCAACAGAAUAAGCACCGGCUAACUUCGUG